Molecule: unclassified non-coding RNA, 229 nt
Filed under: air metagenome
Description: partial contains small subunit ribosomal RNA, internal transcribed spacer 1, and 5.8S ribosomal RNA
Rfam family: Eukaryotic small subunit ribosomal RNA (bases 1-46)
Source: RNAcentral
AAGUCGUAACAAGGUCUCCGUAGGUGAACCUGCGGAGGGAUCAUUACCGAGUGAGGGCCCCCGGGCCCGACCUCCCACCCUGUGUCAACCGACCCCAUUCUGCCUCGGGGGAAACCGGCCUCGCUUCGGCGGGGGACGGGCCCCCGGCGGAACACACAACCCUGCAUCUCUGCGUCAGAGUCGCGAUAGCAAUCGGCCAAAACUUUCAACAACGGAUCUCUUGGUUCUG